RNAcentral lists this ribosomal RNA (406 nucleotides) under uncultured bacterium. Its description in RNAcentral is "partial 16S ribosomal RNA". It matches the Rfam family "Bacterial small subunit ribosomal RNA", at positions 30 to 526 of the family's 1533-position model. The record is from RNAcentral.
AUUGAACGCUGGCGGCAGGCCUAACACAUGCAAGUCGAGCGAGCGGCGGACGGGUGAGUAAUGUCUGGGAAUCUGCCCGAUGGAGGGGGAUAACUACUGGAAACGGUAGCUAAUACCGCAUACCCUCAGAUGGGCACAGAUGGGAUUAGCUAGUAGGUGGGGUAAAGGCUCACCAAGCCGACGAUCUCUAGCUGGUCGGAGAGGAUGAACAGCCAACCUGGUACUGAGACACGGCCCAGACUCAUCCGGGAGGAAGCGGUGGGGAAUAUUGAGCAAUGGGGGCAACCUUGACGCAGCCAGGCCGCGUGGAUGAAGAAGGCCUUCGGGUUGUAAAGUUCUUUCGGUAGGGAGGCGUUAACUACAGAAGAAGCACCGGCUAACUCCGUGCCAGCAGCCGCGGUAAUAC